This is a non-coding RNA of Triticum aestivum (bread wheat), 115 nucleotides long. Lineage: Eukaryota; Viridiplantae; Streptophyta; Magnoliopsida; Poales; Poaceae. The record is from Rfam.
CCACUACUCCCUCCGUUCGGAAUUACUGGUCCUGAAAAUGGAUGUAUCUAGAUGUAUUUUAGUUCUAGAUACAUCCAUUUCCGAGACAAGUAAUUUCAAACGGAGGGAGUACUUC